Molecule: ribosomal RNA, 253 nt
Filed under: uncultured bacterium
Lineage: Bacteria
Description: partial 16S ribosomal RNA
Rfam family: Bacterial small subunit ribosomal RNA
Source: RNAcentral
UACGGGGGGAGCAAGCGUUGUUCGGAUUUACUGGGCGUAAAGGGCGCGUAGGCGGUCAGCACAAGUCAGUUGUGAAAUCUCCGGGCUUAACUCGGAAAGGUCAACUGAUACUGUGCGACUAGAGUGCAGAAGGGGCAACUGGAAUUCUCGGUGUAGCGGUGAAAUGCGCAGAUAUCAGGAGGAACACCGGUGGCGAAGGCGGGUCUCUGGCAACAACUGACGCUGAGGAGCGAAAGCGUGGGGAGCGAACAGG